GAUUAUGGCUCAGGAUGAACGCUAGCUACAGGCCUAACACAUGCAAGUCGAGGGGCAGCAGAUCGAAAGCUUGCUUUGAUGCUGGCGACCGGCGAAUGGGUGAGUCACGCGUGUCCAACCUGCCCCCCGCCCGGGGAUAGCCCUUGGAAAUGAGGAUUAAGACCCGAUAGGUGGCGCUUCCGCAUGGCGGCGCCAUGAAACUGGCGAGGGAUGGGACGCGUCGGAUUAGCUUGACGGCGGGGCAACGGCCCACCGUGGCGACGAUCCGCAGGGGUUCUGAGAGGAAGGUCCCCCACACUGGCACUGAGACACGGGCCAGACUCCUACGGGAGGCAGCAGUGAGGAAUAUUGGUCAAUGGCCGAGAGGCUGAACCAGCCAAGUAGCGUGCAGGAUGACGGCCCUACGGGUUGUAAACUGCUUUUGCGGGAGGAUAAAGUGCGCCACGCGUGGCGCUUUGCAGGUAUCCCGUGAAUAAGGACCGGCUAAUUCCGUGCCAGCCGCUGC
RNAcentral lists this ribosomal RNA (505 nucleotides) under uncultured bacterium. RNAcentral describes it as "bacterial SSU rRNA". It matches the Rfam family "Bacterial small subunit ribosomal RNA", at positions 15 to 518 of the family's 1533-position model. The record is from RNAcentral.